This 248-nucleotide ribosomal RNA is filed under the name Acinetobacter baumannii. Its description in RNAcentral is "partial 16S ribosomal RNA". It matches the Rfam family "Bacterial small subunit ribosomal RNA", at positions 492 to 739 of the family's 1533-position model. The record is from RNAcentral. Lineage: Bacteria; Pseudomonadati; Pseudomonadota; Gammaproteobacteria; Moraxellales; Moraxellaceae.
ACCGGCUAACUACGUGCCAGCAGCCGCGGUAAUACGUAGGGUGCAAGCGUUAAUCGGAAUUACUGGGCGUAAAGCGUGCGCAGGCGGUUUUGUAAGUCUGACGUGAAAUCCCCGGGCUCAACCUGGGAAUUGCGUUGGAGACUGCAAGGCUAGAAUCUGGCAGAGGGGGGUAGAAUUCCACGUGUAGCAGUGAAAUGCGUAGAGAUGUGGAGGAACACCGAUGGCGAAGGCAGCCCCCUGGGUCAAGA